CGCGGCCUAUCAGCUUGUUGGUGAGGUAACGGCCCACCAAGGCGACGACGGGUAGCCGGCCUGAGAGGGUGACCGGCCACACUGGGACUGAGACACGGCCCAGACUCCUACGGGAGGCAGCAGUGGGGAAUAUUGCACAAUGGGCGCAAGCCUGAUGCAGCAACGCCGCGUGAGGGACGACGGCCUUCGGGUUGUAAACCUCUUUUAGCAGGGAAGAAGCGCAAGUGACGGUACCUGCAGAAAAAGCACCGGCUAACUACGUGCCAGCAGCCGCGGUAAUACGUAGGGACCAAGCGUUGUCCGGAAUUAUUGGGCGUAAAGAGCUCGUAGGCGGUUCAGUAAGUCGGGUGUGAAAACUCAAGGCUCAACCUUGAGACGCCACUCGAUACUGCUGUGACUUGAGUCCGGUAGAGGAGUGUGGAAUUCCUGGUGUAGCGGUGAAAUGCGCAGAUAUCAGGAGGAACACCAGCGGCGAAGGCGGCACUCUGGGCCGGUACUGACGCUGAGGAGCGAAAGCAUGGGGAGCAAACAGGAUUAGAUACCCUGGUAGUCCAUGCCGUAAACGUUGGGCACUAGGUAUGGGAUCAUAUCAACGGAUUCCGUGCCGUAGCUAACGCAUUAAGUGCCCCGCCUGGGGAGUACGG
RNAcentral lists this ribosomal RNA (644 nucleotides) under uncultured Actinomycetes bacterium. Its description in RNAcentral is "bacterial SSU rRNA". It matches the Rfam family "Bacterial small subunit ribosomal RNA", at positions 232 to 885 of the family's 1533-position model. The record is from RNAcentral. Lineage: Bacteria; Bacillati; Actinomycetota; Actinomycetes.